AGAGUUUGAUCCUGGCUCAGGACGAACGCUGGCGGCGUGCUUAACACAUGCAAGUCAAGGGGAACGUCUUUCUUCGGAGGGAUUAGUAUACUGGCGAACGGGUGAGUAACGCGUAGGCGACCUGCCUUUAAGUUUGGGAUAACACUGCUAACGCGGUGCUAAUACCGGAUAAGGCAUACAUUCUGCAUGGAUUGUAUGUUAAAGCGGGCUUUCGGGCUCGUGCUUAGGGAUGGGCCUGCGUCCCAUUAGUUAGUUGGCGGGGUAACGGCCCACCAAGACAUCGACGGGUAGCCGACCUGAGAGGGUGAUCGGCCACACUGGGACUGAGAUACGGCCCAGACUCCUACGGGAGGCAGCAGUGAGGAAUAUUGCGCAAUGGAGGAAACUCUGACGCAGCAACGCCGCGUGCGGGAUGAAGCUUUUAGGAGUGUAAACCGCUGUUAGAAGGGACGAAUAAGUAUCAUUCGAACAGGGUGAUACGAUGACGGUACCUUCAGAGGAAGCCCCGGCUAACUCCGUGCCAGCAGCCGCGGUAACACGGGGGGGGCAAGCGUUGUCCGGAAUUAUUGGGCGUAAAGGGCGCGUAGGCGGGCUGAUAAGUCUGAGGUGAAAGUUUGCGGCUUAACCGUAAAAUUGCCUUGGAUACUGUCAGUCUUGAGUUCGGAAGAGGGAAGUGGAAUUCCUGGUGUAGCGGUGAAAUGCGUAGAUAUCAGGAAGAACACCGGUGGCGAAGGCGGCUUCCUGGUCCGAAACUGACGCUGAGGCGCGAAAGUGUGGGGAGCGAACAGGAUUAGAUACCCUGGUAGUCCACACAGUAAACGAUGGAUACUAGGUGUUGGAUGGUGACGUUCAGCGCCGGAGCAAACGCAUUAAGUAUCCCGCCUGGGGAGUACGAUCGCAAGAUUGAAACUCAAAGGAAUUGACGGGGGCCCGCACAAGCGGUGGAGCAUGUGGUUUAAUUCGAUGCAACGCGAAGAACCAUACCUGGGCUUGAACUGAUAGCGCCCUAUCCUGAAAGGGAUAUUUUCUUCGGAACGUUAUUAGAGGUGCUGCAUGGCUGUCGUCAGCUCGUGUCGUGAGAUGUUGGGUUAAGUCCCGCAACGAGCGCAACCCUUGCCCUUAGUUGCCAUCAGGUUAAGCUGGGAACUCUAGGGGGACUGCCACGGCUAACGCGGAGGAAGGUGGGGACGACGUCAAGUCAUCAUGGCCCUUACGUCCAGGGCUACACACGUGCUACAAUGGCCGGUACAACGGGCAGCGAGACAGCGAUGUUAAGCGAAUCCCUUAAAACCGGUCUCAGUUCGGAUUGCAGUCUGCAACUCGACUGCAUGAAGUCGGAAUCGCUAGUAAUCGCGGAUCAGCAUGCCGCGGUGAAUACGUUCCCGGGCCUUGUACACACCGCCCGUCACGCCAUGGGAGUCGGUAGCGCCCGAAGCCGGUGGCCCAAUCCAUUCGUGGAAGGGAGCCGUCGAAGGUGAGACCGAUAACUGGGGCGAAGUCGGAACAAGGUA
RNAcentral lists this ribosomal RNA (1511 nucleotides) under metagenome. RNAcentral describes it as "bacterial SSU rRNA". It matches the Rfam family "Bacterial small subunit ribosomal RNA". The record is from RNAcentral.